This 577-nucleotide ribosomal RNA is filed under the name uncultured Gammaproteobacteria bacterium. RNAcentral's name for it is "bacterial SSU rRNA". It matches the Rfam family "Bacterial small subunit ribosomal RNA", at positions 9 to 614 of the family's 1533-position model. The record is from RNAcentral. Lineage: Bacteria; Pseudomonadati; Pseudomonadota; Gammaproteobacteria.
UAGUUUGAUUCUGGCUCAGAUUGAACGCUGGCGGCAUGCCUAACACAUGCAAGUCGAACGGUAACGACGGAAGCUUGCUUCCGGGCGACGAGUGGCGGACGGGUGAGUAACGCGUGGGAAUCUACCUAGUAGCGGGGGACAACUCGGGGAAACUCGAGCUAAUACCGCAUAAUCCCUUCGGGGGAAAGGCUUCGGCCACUAUUAGAUGAGCCCGCGUCCGAUUAGCUUGUUGGUGAGGUAACUGCUCACCAAGGCUACGAUCGGUAGCUGGUCUGAGAGGAUGAUCAGCCACACUGGGACUUAGACACGGCCCAGACUCCUACGGGAGGCAGCAGUGGGGAAUAUUGCACAAUGGGCGAAAGCCUGAUGCAGCAAUGCCGCGUGUGUGAAGAAGGCCUGCGGGUUGUAAAGCACUUUCAGUAGGGAAGAUAAUGACGGUACCUACNNANGAAGCACCGGCUAACUCCGUGCCAGCGGCCGCGGUAAUACGGAGGGUGCGAGCGUUAAUCGGAAUUACUGGGCGUAAAGCGCGCGUAGGCGGCUCACUAAGUCGGAUGUGAAAGCCCUGGGCUUAACC